Molecule: ribosomal RNA, 478 nt
Filed under: uncultured bacterium
Lineage: Bacteria
Description: partial 16S ribosomal RNA
Rfam family: Bacterial small subunit ribosomal RNA
Source: RNAcentral
GACGAACGCUGGCGGCGUGCCUAACACAUGCAAGUCGAACGGUAAGGCCCUUCGGGGUACACGAGUGGCGAACGGGUGAGUAACACGUGGGUGAUCUGCCCUGCACUUCGGGAUAAGCCUGGGAAACUGGGUCUAAUACCGGAUAGGACCACUGCCUGCAUGGGUGGUGGUGGAAAGCUUUUGCGGUGUGGGAUGGGCCCGCGGCCUAUCAGCUUGUUGGUGGGGUGAUGGCCUACCAAGGCGACGACGGGUAGCCGGCCUGAGAGGGUGACCGGCCAAACUGGGACUGAGAGACGGCCCAGGCUCCUACGGGAGGCAGCAGUGGGGAAUAUUGCACAAGGGGCGCAAGCCUGAGGCAGCGACGCCGCGUGAGGGAUGACGGCCUUCGGGUUGUAAACCUCUUUCAGCACCGACGAAGCGCAAGUGACGGUAGGUGCAGAAGAAGGACCGGCCAACUACGUGCCAGCCGCCGCCGUAA